CUGUUUGGCAGCUCGUAAAGAGUGACAAUGCUGCACCGUUCAGCCGCCUAAACUUCCAGCCGCCCCAUCACUUGUGUUGACGCUUUUUACGCGCUCAGUCCUGCGCGUCCCGGGGCGGCGACAGACCUCAGUUUCGAUGCGUGAGUGUUUGAGCCACCGUGCAGUCAUCGUGUGUGCUUUGGACUAUGGCUUCGGAUCAAGAGCAGAACGGAAAGCGUUUGAUACAGCUUCUGGAGAAACCCGGGAAUGGAAACUGUGCCGACUGUGGAGCUGCAGAUCCAGAGUGGGUGUCCUACACCCUGGGUGUGUUUGUGUGUCACAGCUGCUCAGGUCUCCAUAGAAACAUUGCUCAGAUCAGCAAGGUGAAAUCUAUCCUGCUGGAUCCCUGGAGCUCCUCUCAGGUGGAGUUUGUGGACUCUGUUGGUAACGAUGCUGCCAAUGCCAAAUACGAACAGAUAGUUCCUGCCUUCUUCUACCGACCCACAUACAAAGACUGCCUACUCCUGAGGGAACAAUGGAUCCGAGCCAAGUACGAGAGGAAGGAGUUUAUGUACGUGGAGAGGCAGGAGCCGUACUCAGCGGGUUACAGAGAGGGGUUUCUAUGGAAGAGAGGCAGAGACAACGGGCAAUUCCUCAGCCGGAAAUUUAUUCUCACUGAACGGGAAGGUGUUCUGAAGUACUUCAACAAGCAUGAUGCUAGAGAGCCCAAAGCAAUAAUGAAGAUCAGUACUUUGAACGCCUCUUUUCAGCCAGAAAAAUUGUGCAACCCACACGGCAUGCAGAUCACCUAUUUAAAGGACAACAGCACUAGGAAUAUCUUCAUUUAUCACGAGGAUGGAAAGGAAAUGGUGGACUGGUUCAAUGCAAUCAGAGCAGCCAGGUUUCACUAUCUGCAGGUGGCCUUUCCUGGAGCUUCUCACUCUGAACUGCUGCCAAAGCUUACCAGGAGCUACAUAAAGGAGGGUUUCAUGGAGAAGACUGGUCCAAAGCACACAGAGGGCUUUAAGAAGAGGUGGUUCACAAUGGAUGACAGGAGGCUCAUGUACUUCAAAGAUCCACUGGAUGCUUAUGCACGAGGCGAGGUGUUCAUUGGCAGUAAGGAAAACAGCUACACUGUGCUCCCCGGCCUCCCAGGAAACACUCAAGGCUACCGUUGGCAGUUUGGGAUAACCAUAGUGACCCCCGACAGAAAGUUUCUAUUUGCAUGUGAAACUGAGAAGGAUCAGAAAGACUGGAUCUCUGCAUUUCAGACUGUUAUCGACAGACCAAUGCUACCGCAGGAGUAUGCAGUGGAGGCCUAUUUUAAGCACAAACCAUAACAGGCUUAGUGUUUGAAGGACUUUUGCUGAGGAACCACAAAGCAAAGGAGUUAAAAGGUGGUGCAUUUCCCCCCCAUAUAACAGACGGUCUAAAUCUGAGAGAGAGCCCCAAUGAAAAGAAGAACUGAUACCUAAACAAUAUCACCUUUCUGGUAGAUCGGUAAUCUUCACAUCUUCCAUAGAAAUUCAAUAAUGCAUACAAAUACCUUUUAAAAUGACACAAAGGAGAAUCACUACCUCCAUAUUUCACUAACAGGGCCUUAACUUCGAGAGAAUCAAAGUUACAUUAAAUCAUUGUAGUUAUUCUGACAGCUGAAUUAAUGUGGGGAGAAAAUACUGUGCUCAGUUUUUCAUCAGUUUCUACUAAUUUACCUUUGCAAGCCUCUCUCCAUCUUCUCUCUUCACCACCCUCUCAUGAGUUGAAUCAGCCUGGUGCGACAGGAAAAACAGGGUCACACAUGAGAGCAUCAUGCAACACCAACAUCAGUGCUAAAAAACCACAACAUCCACCUACCCACUGGGCAGAUCGUCACUAUUUAUCCACAGCUUACGUUCAAGUGUUCCUGGUGUUCAGGUCUGAUAGCAGCUAAUGAGUCAAGAUUGGCUCUCACAGUGCUAAUUAGGGACUGAUAUGGAGUGUUGGGGACUGAAACUAGACCGAGCUCCAAGGCAGAGACAUCUGUCUCUGUUCAGAGGGGAGAUGUGAAUGGCAGUUAUACAAAAAAAUGUGUAACAGCGAUAUUUUCACAUUAACAGGUUGACGUAUUAUCAGACGUGUAUGUGAGUGUGCUGUAGAUAAACAUGAAUUUAGGGGAAAAAACAGUCACCUAUGAUUCACUGACUUAGCUUUCAACUGGUUUAGGUUUUUAUUUUGUUUUUUCUCAAACGCAAUCAGUGCUUCAGGCUGUGUGUGUAUGUAUUAGAAAUGUGUAUUGGGAGAAGCAGAUGGCCUAGUGGGCGGCCCGGGUUUGAGGUCCGACCUGUGGCUCCUCUCCUGCAUGUCAUUACCCACUCUCUCUCUGAUAUCCUACGCCAUCCACUGUCCUAUCAAAUAAAGGCUUUAAAGCCCAACACAGAUCUUUGAAAAAAGAAAUGUGGAUGGCUACUUAUGCUAAUAAAACAAUAUAUUUUUCUAUCCCA
Labrus bergylta (ballan wrasse) is the source of this 2459-nucleotide RNA transcript. It is a transcript of the gene named arf-GAP with dual PH domain-containing protein 1, with no coding region annotated. The record is from RefSeq and is a predicted model, not a curated record. NCBI's taxonomy places the organism in Eukaryota, Metazoa, Chordata, Actinopteri, Labriformes, Labridae.